This 1476-nucleotide long non-coding RNA is filed under the name Fragaria vesca (wild strawberry). RNAcentral describes it as "long non-coding RNA (FVES_LNC002233)". The record is from RNAcentral. Lineage: Eukaryota; Viridiplantae; Streptophyta; Magnoliopsida; Rosales; Rosaceae.
CCACAACGAAGUCACACAAACAGCAACCAUAUAUAUAUAUUCAUCAUAAACCAAUCCACAAUAUCAAUACCGCAUAAAAACCCUAAAUUCCCAAAUUCGAAACCCUAGAAUGGCAUAUCGAAAUCAAAAUCAGAGGAUUACACCACCUAGCGAGUGAUGAGCAGGCGAGCAAGCGGCGGAGCAGGCGAGCAGGACAAGGAGAGGGUGACCAGGAGAGAAAGAGGGAGACCGGGAGAGGGAGAGGGAGACCGGGAGAGGGAGAGGGCGACCGGGAGUGCGGUGAGGGCUCACGGAGGCGGACCGGGUGUUAGUUAGGGUUUUUUCGUCGCUCUGUGGAGGCUGUAGAGAGCUGCGUUUUCUAUGGUCCCGAUACCUUUAGCUGACGAAAUAAUUACUUCGUCGGCUAAACCUUUAAAUUCGUCGGCUAAAAUAUGAAAUUCGUUGGCUGAACCUUUGAAAUUCGUCGGCUAACCUUUGAAAUUCGUCGGCUAAACCUGUGAAUAUCGUCGGCUAAAGUACUUUUUAUACAUUCGGCACAUUGUGAUUGUGAUGAUCAAACUUGAGAAACGAAAAUCCCACAGUCAGAUAUGACCAUCAUGAUAAAAUACAUGUAUGGGAAAAAAUUCAACUUGAUCCAACAAGGUUAAGGGCUCGAUCCGGACGGUCAAUCCCGUAAGUCAAACCCCUAAACGCACGGAAAAGGUCAUUGGACCGUCUAAAUUACGUAUUUUGGCCGGACCAUCAACUAAAAAUAGUUUGAAACCGAUGAGACGCAACAAGUCAUAUAAAAAUUUUACAGAAAAUAACCACCGAAGAUAAGGCUACCUAUAGGGAAAAAGAAUGGAAAAUUGCAUUGACCGCAACUAUCGGCAUCGAGACUUUACUGGAAUACCGUGAUUUUUCAACCGUAGACGUAUUUCACCAUUCUGGUCAUAUCUUAUUUCACUACUUUUUUGCGUUUGAACGUUCUAAGUAUAGUUUGUUUUUGAAACGGAACAUUUACUUAAACACUUGGUAAACAAGUUAUACAACAUUAGUAGGCAUGUUGUGAUUGUGAUGAUCAAACUUGAGAAACGAAAAUCCCACUGUCAGAUCUGACCAUCAUGAUAAAAUACAUAUAUGGGAAAAAAUUCAACUUGAUCCGACAAGGUUAAGGGCUCGAUCCGGACGGUGAAUCUCGUAAGUCGAACCCCUUAACGCACGGAAAAGGUCAUUGGACCGUCUAAAUUACGUAUUUUGGCCGGACCUUCAACUGAAAAUAGUUUCAAACCGAUAAGACGCAACAAGUCCUAUAUUAGGGUAUUCAUCGGUUAAGGUUUAGGGUUUAGGAUUUAGCCGACGAAAUAUUAGGGUAUUCGUCUGCUAAACGCAUCUUAGCCGACAAAUUAUGGUAUAUUUCGUCGGCUAAGAUGUUUUAAGCCGACGAAUUAUAGUAUAUUUCAUUGGCUAAGAUUGUUUAAGCCGACGAAUUAUGGG